GGUUGCCUCUGGCUCACUGGGAUCAGCAGUUCGAUCGCCUACAACUGGUCGCGGCCCAAUAUGAAGCCUAGCGUCAAGAUCAUCCACGCAAGGUUAGUUUAUUUUCUCAUUUUUAUUUCACUCCUUUAACUUUUUGCGCGUUUUUAACUACAGGAUAGCAUGUCUUGUAUUAUCAUAAAGAAGAACACCGCAAUUGAUUUAUUCUUUUCUUAGAUCCAAUAACUUAAUUAGUCUUGAACAUUUCAUAUUUUUAAAACUACUACAAUUAAAAAUGGUUGAUUUUCUUGUCUGCGUCUGAAACUCCGUUUGAGAGCUAAUCUGCAAUAUGAAAAAGCCCGACCAACUUACAUGUUCCUAGACCUACAGGACUACAUCUCCACGGACUUCAUAUGAUUUUUUGGAAGUUUCUGUAAGGCUGGCUUAUUAGGUAUAACAUUGCUCAAUAACUGCUAAGAUUCCAGCCACAGUUAGGUAGGAUGGACUUGGCAUCAGGAUUGUAAGUAAAGAUCGGUGGUCUGGCAAGAAGUUUGAUUUGAUUGUAGAAAAGUCUCUGGUUUCAAUCGUUGUUAACUGUUGGUAGUGGUUAUAAAGUAGGUGGUGACAUUUGGCACAAGCACAAAUGCAGGGAUACCGUGGGUUUGCUGUGCCUGGAGGAAAAUAGUUGGUCUUGAUUCUUUUCAAAUAUACAGCAUUGGUUUAUAAGGUUGUAUGACAGUGUGUAUUUAUAUGGAUUUGGUUUCACAAAUUGGUUUGGGUGCCUGCCUGAUAGUGUUACCUUAUCUCCUGUAGUCCUGUUUUAAGCGUGCAGUCGUACCAUUCAAAAGAAAAGUUAAAGUUUAGUAGCUUCUUGGUUAUUGCAGACCUGUGCUUGAUGAUCUGUUAGGUAUAUACACUGGUAUUUGUCCUUACAUGAUGUAAGGAGUAAUUUAGGCAGCCUCUAGUUUAGUCUUUAAGCUCAUAAGGUUGUAAGAGUACCAAGUUCUCUCUGUUUCCUGCACCUUUAUGCAUUGGCUUAUAUGACCUGUCCACUCCAGCCUAAAAGUAAAAGAACAUCCGCAGAUGCAUUACCCAAUCCCUUGUCAAACUACUUUAGAUUGAACUUUUUAAUGCGUUUUCACACCCUCCUCCAAAGUCCUAAUUUGCUUAUUUCUUCUGAAUGUUCUGUAAGCCUGUCCAAGCCUAACUGCCAAAUUUGGGCGUGUUUACCUAGUUCAGCACAUAAAAUAUCUGAACUGUUGCUAUACCUUUGGCAUUCUGCCAAUAAUAGGAAACUCCUUGCCUUUUUUUUUUUGCCAAAAUGGGAUGAAAACAGAUGCUACUUAAUUGAUGGUUCCAAUUUUUGCAAGUUUUUAGGGCCUACCUGCAUAAACAUAAAAACACCCUUAAAACCACUAUGGAUUGAACUUGUACAUUGAUCUUUCUCAUGUUGAAGGAUAGUGUUGUACAAAAUCCUUGAUGAACCUUCUCGCUGUGGCUGUUAAUUGGUGCAACCUUCACCUCAUAUAUUGCAGUAGUCAACAAUGUUGUAAGAUAGGUUAAAUUCAACUGCUAAUCAAUCGCAUGUAAAUGUACCGAAGAUGAUUGUUUUCAACUUUUCAUUCUGUAUCAUCUUUUGCUAUUUAUUUGCCUCUGGCUCUGAGCUCUUUUUAAUUCACAUAUAUAUGGCUUGUACAUGUUGUACUUCAUUGCACCUGCUUCGCUGAUGUUACUUCUCAUAGUGCUCAUUUCAUAACGGGUUCUGCGGUUUUAAAAAGAUAGUGUGCAUGACAAUUUGAUCUUAGAUUGGCGACCUUAGAUUGUGUGCAUGACAAUUUCAUAACAAUUGCUUAGAUUGGCAACCUUUGUUGCACGUAGACUGUAGCCACUGCAUGUAUUACUGAAUAUAGAAAUUGCAGCUGUUUUAAUACACACAGAUUCCAGAUGACUUCACUUGUAUUCAAUUCUAUCAUGCUAUUAUUUGAAAACUCACAAUCCUAACAUCUCAUAAACUGUUGACUUUUGCAGGUUGCAUGCGCAGGCUCUAACCCUUGCUGCAUUGGUUGGUUCUGCAUGUGUGGAGUACUAUGAUAACAAAUAUGGUUCUUCUGGGCCUAAGGUGGACAAGUACACAAGCCAAUACCUGGCACACUCGCAUAAAGAUUAAGAUCUCCAUGUUCAUUCCUGCAUAGCGGAUUAAUUUUGGGCUCAUUUCUGGGUGCUCAACUGCUCAUUAACUAUGUCCCUGGAUGCUGGAUGGUUCUUCUUUGCCCCCUUAUUAAUGCAAAAUGACAGUGUACUUGCCAGGGCAUUCCUGGGAAAUGGCAUAGAGGGUGUAAUGGUGAUAUCACCUUCAUAAUUUAGCCUCAGGUUGCAUUAUGCAACAUCACAUUGUGAACCUUCCUUGGAUGUUUUUAUCUUUUUUCCCCAAAGAAAAGCAAAGGAGAGAGAUCCUGGUUUUUGCCGAACUGUUUUGUGUUCUCUGUCUCUUGUUCAUGCGUGCUUGUAUGCUGCUGGCAACGCAAAUCAGAGAUGCUUUUAACGAUGAUUUGUAGUUGUGGAUAUGUACUACUCGCAAAUUACAACUUUAUUAUAAUAAAAUUCAGCCUAUGCUCUAUACAAAAUCAACUCAUUUUGUGGUCCCUUCUUUUGAGAAAUUUUGUGGCGUCUUCCAAAGAAUUGAAACGCUAGAAUUUGUGUGGUCCGUUAAAAUUCUAGGGGAUCAUUGCGCCUGCUCUCCGAUGCACAAUUUAGUUUUUUAAAAAAUAGCCUGCAUAGACGCCGACAGGUGGAGCCCGUCACAUUACGCCUGGUGCGUCAAAACUCGAAGACCCCAACACCUUCCCGGGCGGCGGCGGCGGCGGCGGCUCGAUGCUACCCCGAUGCGGACGCCGGAGACCAUCGGCCCGCUCCUCGCCCGCUACGGUGCGUCGCGGUCGCUGCUCGCGGGGGCGCACCUCCACUCCCACCUCCUCAAGUCUGGCCUCCUCGCCGCCUGCCGCAACCACCUCAUCUCGUUCUACUCCCGAUGCCGCCUUCCGCGCGCCGCGCGCGCGGUGUUCGACGAAAUCCCGGACCCGUGCCAUGUCUCCUGGUCCUCGCUCGUCACCGCCUACUCCAACAACUCCAUGCCCCGGGAGGCGCUCGGGGCGUUCCGGGCCAUGCGCAGCCGCGGCGUCCGGUGCAACGAGUUCGCGCUCCCCGUCGUGCUCAAGUGCGCGCCGGACGCCAGGCUCGGCGCGCAGGUGCACGCGCUGGCGGUGGCCACGGCGCUCGACGGGGACGUCUUCGUCGCCAACGCGCUCGUGGCCAUGUACGGCGGGUUCGGCAUGGUGGACGAGGCCAGGAGGAUGUUCGACGAGUCUGGUGGCGCCAUCAGCAAGGAGAGGAACGCUGUCUCUUGGAACGGCAUGAUGUCGGCGUACGUCAAGAACGACCGGUGUGGGGACGCCAUCGGGGUGUUCCGUGAGAUGGUGUGGAGCGGGGCGCGGCCGAACGAGUUUGGGUUCUCCUGCGUCGUGAAUGCGUGCACGGGGGCCAGGGAUUCGGAAGCCGGGAGGCAGGUGCACGCCAUGGUGGUGAGGAUGGGUUAUGACGAGGAUGUGUUCACAGCAAAUGCGCUGGUCGACAUGUACUCGAAGCUGGGGGACAUUGAUAUGGCAGCGGUGGUUUUUGAGAAGAUGCCUGCAGUGGAUGUUGUCUCGUGGAAUGCUUUUAUUUCCGGAUGUGUGAUUCAUGGCCAUGAUCAUCGUGCACUGGAGUUGCUGAUCCAGAUGAAGUCUUCGGGGCUGGUGCCCAAUGUGUAUACAUUGUCUACUAUCCUGAAGGCUUGUGCUGGUGCUGGUGCAUUCAAUUUGGGCCGGCAAAUUCAUGGGUUUAUGAUCAAGGCCGAUGCAGUUUCAGAUGAAUUCAUCGGUGUUGGUCUUGUCGAUAUGUAUGCAAAGGAUGGGUUUUUGGAUGAUGCAAGGAAGGUGUUCAAUUUCAUGCCCCAAAAGAAUUUGAUUUUGUGGAAUGCACUGAUCUCAGGUUGCUCUCAUGAUGGACAAUGUGGCGAGGCGCUGUCACUCUUUCGCAGGAUGAGAAUGGAGGGGCUUGACCUUGAUGUCAAUAGGACAACACUGGCUGCUGUUCUCAAGUCAACAGCGAGCUUGGAGGCAAUCAGUCACACAAGACAGGUCCAUGCUCUUGCAGAGAAGAUAGGGCUCCUAUCUGACUCUCAUGUCAUCAAUGGGCUUAUUGAUUCAUACUGGAAGUGUGACUGCCUCAAUGACGCAGUUAGGGUUUUUGAAGAAAGCUGUCCUGAUGACAUCAUAUCUUCUACAUCCAUGAUAACAGCACUCUCACAGUCUGACCAUGGUGAGGAUGCAAUAAAGCUGUUUGUGCAGAUGCUAAGGAAAGGGCUUGAGCCUGAUUCUUUUGUACUAAGUAGCCUCCUGAAUGCUUGUGCUAGUCUGUCGGCCUAUGAACAAGGAAAGCAAGUGCAUGCUCAUCUGAUCAAGAGGCAGUUCACGUCAGAUGUGUUUGCAGGGAAUGCUCUUGUGUACACCUAUGCAAAAUGUGGGAGCAUAGAGGAUGCAGACAUGGCCUUCUCUGGCCUACCAGAGAGGGGAGUUGUCUCAUGGUCUGCAAUGAUCGGAGGGCUCGCGCAGCAUGGACAAGGGAAGAGAUCGUUGGAAUUGUUCCAUAGAAUGCUUGAUGAGGGCGUUGCCCCAAACCACAUCACUUUGACCAGUGUUCUCUCUGCUUGUAACCAUGCAGGGCUUGUUGAUGAGGCCAAGAAAUACUUUGAGUCAAUGAAGGAGAUGUUUGGAAUUGACAGGACCGAGGAGCAUUACUCGUGCAUGAUUGAUCUUCUUGGCCGUGCAGGGAAAUUAGAGGAUGCGAUGGAGCUUGUCAACAACAUGCCAUUCGAAGCUAAUGCUGCAGUUUGGGGUGCACUCUUAGGAGCCUCAAGAGUUCACCAAGAUCCCGAGCUGGGAAGGUUAGCAGCUGAAAAGCUCUUCACUCUAGAGCCAGAGAAGUCUGGCACACAUGUCCUGCUUGCAAACACUUAUGCUUCAGCAGGCAUGUGGGAUGAGGUGGCUAAGGUGCGGAAGCUAAUGAAAGAAAGUAACCUCAAGAAGGAGCCUGCUAUGAGCUGGGUUGAGAUGAAGGACAAGGUGCAUACUUUCAUUGUCGG
Molecule: long non-coding RNA, 5155 nt
Filed under: Setaria viridis
Lineage: Eukaryota; Viridiplantae; Streptophyta; Magnoliopsida; Poales; Poaceae
Description: long non-coding RNA (SVIR_LNC000977)
Source: RNAcentral